RNAcentral lists this ribosomal RNA (253 nucleotides) under uncultured bacterium. Its description in RNAcentral is "partial 16S ribosomal RNA". It matches the Rfam family "Bacterial small subunit ribosomal RNA", at positions 524 to 776 of the family's 1533-position model. The record is from RNAcentral.
UACGGAGGGUGCAAACGUUGCUCGGAAUCAUUGGGCGUAAAGCGCACGUAGGUGGCCUGUUAAGUCGGGUGUGAAAUCCCUGGGCUCAACCCAGGAAGUGCACUCGAAACUGGCAGGCUUGAGUACUGAAGAGGGUCGUGGAAUUCCCAGUGUAGAGGUGAAAUUCGUAGAUAUUGGGAAGAACACCGGUGGCGAAGGCGGCGACCUGGUCCUUGACUGACGCUGAGGCGCGAAAGCGUGGGGAGCAAACAGG